RNAcentral lists this ribosomal RNA (550 nucleotides) under uncultured bacterium. RNAcentral's name for it is "bacterial SSU rRNA". It matches the Rfam family "Bacterial small subunit ribosomal RNA", at positions 355 to 896 of the family's 1533-position model. The record is from RNAcentral.
UGGGGAAUAUUGCACAAUGGGCGCAAGCCUGAUGCAGCCAUGCCGCGUGUAUGAAGAAGGCCUUCGGGUUGUAAAGUACUUUCAGCGGGGAGGAAGGGAGUAAAGUUAAUACCUUUACUCAUUGACGUUACCCGCAGAAGAAGCACCGGCUAACUCCGUGCCAGCAGCCGCGGUAAUACGAAGGGUGCAAGCGUUAAUCGGAAUUACUGGGCGUAAAGGGUGCGUAGGCGGUUAGUUAAGUCUGUUGUGAAAUCCCCGGGCUCAACCUGGGAAUGGCAAUGGAUACUGGCUAGCUAGAGUGUGUCAGAGGAUGGUGGAAUUUCCGGUGUAGCGGUGAAAUGCGUAGAGAUCGGAAGGAACAUCAGUGGCGAAGGCGGCCAUCUGGGACAACACUGACGCUGAAGCACGAAAGCGUGGGGAGCAAACAGGAUUAGAUACCCUGGUAGUCUACGCCCUAAACGAUGCGAACUGGAUGUUGGUCUCAACUCGGAGAUCAGUGUCGAAGCUAACGCGUUAAGUUCGCCGCCUGGGGAGUACGGUCGCAAGACUG